This 508-nucleotide ribosomal RNA is filed under the name uncultured bacterium. Its description in RNAcentral is "partial 16S ribosomal RNA". It matches the Rfam family "Bacterial small subunit ribosomal RNA", at positions 28 to 507 of the family's 1533-position model. The record is from RNAcentral.
GACGAACGCUGGCGGCGUGCCUAAUACAUGCAAGUCGAACGCUUCUUUCCUCCCGAGUGCUUGCACUCAAUUGGAAAGAGGAGUGGCGGACGGGUGAGUAACACGUGGGUAACCUACCCAUCAGAGGGGGAUAACACUUGGAAACAGGUGCUAAUACCGCAUAACAGUUUAUGCCGCAUGGCAUAAGAGUGAAAGGCGCUUUCGGGUGUCGCUGAUGGAUGGACCCGCGGUGCAUUAGCUAGUUGGUGAGGUAACGGCUCACCAAGGCCACGAUGCAUAGCCGCCCUGAGAGGGUGAUCGGCCACACUGGGACUGAGACACGGCCCAGACUCCUACGGGAGGCAGCAGUAGGGAAUCUUCGGCAAUGGACGAAAGUCUGACCGAGCAACGCCGCGUGAGUGAAGAAGGUUUUCGGAUCGUAAAACUCUGUUGUUAGAGAAGAACAAGGACGUUAGUAACUGAACGUCCCCUGACGGUAUCUAACCAGAAAGCCACGGCUAACUACGUG